GGGAGGGGCCAUGCCUUCAGCUGGAGUAGCUGUGAAUUGGGAUGAAGGAUUCAACCCGCAUGCUGUGAAAGGAGUUGGCCACAGAGUGAUCGAAGGGCGUCAUGCGAAUAAGCGCCAAAGAGAUGACCGGGGAAAUACCAACCUCCCCAACGCUCCUGACCACCACAGUUAACUCCUCAUCAACAGUACAACACCCAACGCCAUCAACAGAAGCCCCAUACCAAACGCAGAUGUACGAUUCCUCAAGGAGCUACCUCUCACACACCUUCGACCAAACAACAAUUUUGAAGGAACUGGAAGCAAUUGGACUUAUUUGGUCACAAGGCUUAUUCAUCCGCUAUGCUCCAAUUCUGCAUAUUCAAGAAUGAGAAGGGAACGAAAUAACUAUUGAACUACACUAAAAACUAACAGGCUGGACUUGUCUUCCUCUUGCUCCAGAGACCUUGACCCCACAUGAAGCAAGGCAAGUACAUCCCACCAGGCAGCCAGCACUAAUCAGCUGGGUACUCUUCUGUCUCUGACCAGUGGAUGAGACCCAGCUGCCUCCAUCUACAGAGACUGGAUUCCAAUGAUCCUAUCUGAAUUUGCCUCUGAAGAGCUAGGCUGCAGUUUUUAUGUACAGUAAGUUUCAAAGGAACCUAUGAGUAUAGGGUAUGCCAAUGAGGCAGUGAGUGAGUAUUUUCAAGGGCUUCUCAUGUGGUACUGCAUUGGCGACUUUCUUAACUAGGGUUGCCAGGCGUCUGUUUUUUGACUGGAACGCCCAGUUGAAAAGGGACUCUGGCGGCUCCAGUUGGCAUCGCUGACUGGGCCGUUAGGAGUCUGGUUGGUGGCACAGCAGAAGCCCGGGGCUAAGGCAGGGUCCCUACCUGCCCCGACUCCGUGUUGCUCCCGGAAGCAGCCACCAGGUCCCUGUGGCCCCUAGGUGCUGGGGUGGUCAGGGACUGUGAGGCUCCGUGCGCUGUCCCCACCCCAAAUACUGGCUCUGCAGCUCCCAUUAGCUGGGAGCCAAUGGGAGCGGGGGGGGGCGGUGCCUGCAGG
Long non-coding RNA from Caretta caretta (loggerhead turtle), 1038 nucleotides. RefSeq lists it as uncharacterized. The record is from RefSeq and is a predicted model, not a curated record. NCBI's taxonomy places the organism in Eukaryota, Metazoa, Chordata, Testudines, Cheloniidae.